Scomber japonicus (chub mackerel) is the source of this 149-nucleotide long non-coding RNA. RefSeq lists it as uncharacterized. NCBI's taxonomy places the organism in Eukaryota, Metazoa, Chordata, Actinopteri, Scombriformes, Scombridae. The transcript is spliced from 3 exons. The record is from RefSeq and is a predicted model, not a curated record.
GGAUAUGUAGUAGUAAAGUGGGUGUGUUAUGUAGUAAAUCUGGUGGGUCGUGUAGUAAAAUGAGCGUAUCAUGUAGUAAAGUGGGUGUGAUAUUUAGUAAAGUGAGCGUAUCAUGCAGUGAAGUGGGUGUGAUAUUUAGGUAAUUUGGU